AACGAACGCUGGCGGCAUGCCUAACACAUGCAAGUCGAACGAGACCUUCGGGUCUAGUGGCGCACGGGUGCGUAACGCGUGGGAACCUGCCUUUAGGUUCGGAAUAACUCAGAGAAAUUUGAGCUAAUACCGGAUAAUGUCUUCGGACCAAAGAUUUAUCGCCUUUAGAUGGGCCCGCGUAAGAUUAGCUAGUUGGUGGGUAAAGGCCUACCAAGGCGACGAUCUUUAGCUGGUCUGAGAGGAUGAUCAGCCACACUGGGACUGAGACACGGCCCAGACUCCUACGGGAGGCAGCAGUGGGGAAUAUUGGACAAUGGGCGAAAGCCUGAUCCAGCAAUGCCGCGUGAGUGAUGAAGGCCUUAGGGUUGUAAAGCUCUUUUACCCGGGAUGAUAAUGACAGUACCGGGAGAAUAAGCCCCGGCUAACUCCGUGCCAGCAGCCGCGGUAAU
RNAcentral lists this ribosomal RNA (449 nucleotides) under uncultured bacterium. RNAcentral's name for it is "bacterial SSU rRNA". It matches the Rfam family "Bacterial small subunit ribosomal RNA", at positions 29 to 524 of the family's 1533-position model. The record is from RNAcentral.